Molecule: long non-coding RNA, 524 nt
Organism: Stegastes partitus (bicolor damselfish)
Lineage: Eukaryota; Metazoa; Chordata; Actinopteri; Pomacentridae
Exons: 2
Source: RefSeq, a predicted model, not a curated record
ACACACAGAAAUGACUGCGACCUACGACCACGCCAAAGGAAACUCCUGCAGGAUUGGCUGACCAUCAUCUGCUGCGUCUUCCUGCAGAAAUUUUGUGUUAAAGUGGAUUCAAUUGUACUGCUAAAAACAAAGACAUUUGGUCCUUUGAGGGCUAGCUUUAGUGGAGUUAUGUGUCAUUAUUAUUCAUAGUGUCUUGCUUCAUAAUGUUGAAUGUAUCUUCUUGAAUCUAACUUAAAAAUAUAUUUUUACACUUAUUUAUUAAUUAAAUCAAUAACCGACCUGACUUUCUUGCUCAAGUUGACAAAAUGUUUAACUCUAAAAGAAGUCUGUCCUUUGUUUUUUCUUUUUCUGUUACGUAUUUACAUCUGCAAACAUGUCAUAUACAUGUCCACACAUAUACUCGUAUGCUUAUUGGUUGCUUGAAGCUUGGUGCAUAAUAUUCAGUUUUGUCGUCUUAAGAGUUCUGUGAUUUUGUAUCAGGCUGUUGUUGGAGAUUUUUAAAAUACAAUUUGACUCGUUCAGUG